Molecule: long non-coding RNA, 1291 nt
Organism: Oncorhynchus tshawytscha (Chinook salmon)
Lineage: Eukaryota; Metazoa; Chordata; Actinopteri; Salmoniformes; Salmonidae
Source: Ensembl
AUAAGGAAUAGCAUACCAUCUGAAACACAGCUGGUUGGUAAAGGGACCAGCCAGGCAUGUUCAAGGUUGUUGCAGUGGAUGGUAAGCUACAGCAUCGCUAUCACUAUUAUUACCAUUGUGUAACUAACCACACAGUUGUUGCCCAAUAUAAGAUGGUAUUGAUAUGUGAGUUGAGGAUACCCUGUAAGGCACUCCCCUGGGCAUUUCCUCUAGGCAACUAUUCUGCCAUUAUGGAUCUUUCCUCACAGUGCAGUACAGAGCCAAGUGAACGCCACAGCACAGCUUCACCCCAGUUUCCAAAAGGUAAUUGAAGCAUGCUGGGGCUCAUUGAUCCAGCAUUGUGACGCAGGCAGUUUAUCAGUCAGUGUAAAAACCCUUCCAUCCCUACUCACAGUCACACUAAGCCAUUCAGGAUACCGCCCAUUGAUUUUCUAACCUCCAUCAACAACGACAGGACUGGGUGUGGGCAGGCAGGUUCAGCGAAGCCAACGAAUGACAGGGAUCAUGCAGAAACAAUAGUCAUUAUGUAAAUGAAAAUAUCUCAAUAUAUGAUCGCAGAUAAAGACCAAGACUGAUAAAGACCGUGCUUCUACACCUGCAUUGCUUGCUGUCUGGGGUUUUAGGCUGGGUUUCUGUACAGCACUUUGAGAUAUCAGCUAAUGUAUGAAGGGAUUUAUAAAUACAUUUGAUUUGAUUUUGAUUUGAAGACUUCAGCCUCAAUAAUGAUGUUUCACAUAACAGCAUUAAACCCUGAGUAACUUUAAAGUCACUGGGCUUGGUGAGAAGUGUUUAAAUUUAGCUUUACUGAUGACUGUGUCCAAAUCAAAGAGUGGAAUUAUCAGUCUGGACCUAAGGUCUGUUACAAAGACGUUGGGAGAACAAAGACGUUGGGAGAAAAACAGGUUGAAAAUCAAUAGCAAUAUUCUACUGAAGUUUGAAAGGUACAGGCUGGUAACUUCGGAUAUAUCAUUCCUCCAAUCCCACUGUCUGAAAACAACCCAUAAAGACAUCACUGUAACCUCAAAGGAGUGUGUGUGAGUGUGUGUGUGUGUGUGUGUGUGUGUGCGUGCGCGUGCGUGUGCGCCAGUAUGCUGACAUCUACUCUCAGCCCAGCCUGGUGAAGUACAGCCUGGUGAAGUACAGCCUGGUGAAUGAAGUACAGCCUGGUGAAUGAAGUACAGCCUGGUGAAUGAAGUACAGCCUGGUGAAUGAAGUACAGCCUGGUGAAUGAAGUACAGCCUGGUGAAUGAAGUACAGCCUGGUGAAUGAAGUACAUCCUGGUGAAUGAAGU